UACAGAGGUCUCAAGCGUUGUUCGGAAUCACUGGGCGUAAAGGGUGCGUAGGCCGCACGGAAAGUCAGAGGUGAAAUCCCGGAGCUCAACUUCGGAAUUGCCUCCGAUACUCCCGUGCUUGAGGACUGGAGAGGAGUCUGGAAUUCACAGUGGAGCAGUGAAAUGCGUAGAUAUUGUGAGGAACACUAGUGGCGAAGGCGAGACUCUGGACAGUUCCUGACGCUGAGGCACGAAGGCCAGGGGAGCAAACAGG
Molecule: ribosomal RNA, 253 nt
Filed under: uncultured bacterium
Lineage: Bacteria
Description: partial 16S ribosomal RNA
Rfam family: Bacterial small subunit ribosomal RNA
Source: RNAcentral